AUAUAAUUGUAUUUCUGUAUUAGGUUAUUGUGGCUAGGAUGUUUCUUUAUAACUUUCUCCAUUAUGCGCCGAUUGGAAUUACAAUAUUUUGUGUGCCGUUCAGGCGCAAGGAGGAUUUUAACUUAUGGAACAAGGUACAGUUAAAUGGUUUAACGCUGAUAAAGGAUUUGGCUUCAUCACACGUGAAGAUGGUAGUGACGUGUUUGUACACUUCUCCGCUAUCCAAGGUGAAGGCUUCAAGACUUUAGAAGAAGGCCAAAGCGUAACUUUCGACGUUGAAGAAAGCGAACGUGGACCACAAGCUGCAAACGUUGUUAAAGCUUAAUUUUAAGUGAUUUAACGUUAUAUAUAUUAAAGAAAGAGGCUGCGUUUGCGGUCUCUUUUUUG
This 387-nucleotide small RNA is filed under the name Ligilactobacillus apodemi DSM 16634 = JCM 16172. RNAcentral describes it as "Lactobacillus apodemi DSM 16634 = JCM 16172 cspA thermoregulator". It matches the Rfam family "cspA thermoregulator". Lineage: Bacteria; Bacillati; Bacillota; Bacilli; Lactobacillales; Lactobacillaceae. The record is from Rfam by way of RNAcentral.